CGAGCGUCUCCUGCACGUCUUCCGUGCCUCCAGGAGGUGGAGUGAGAAAUCAGGCAGCCCAGAGCCCUGCGCUGGCCAAGUCCACCGUCUUAUGAGGGAGGCAGCAGAGGCAGAAUGGCAAACCCAAAACGAAAAGACAAACACAACGACACACACGCACGCAACUAGAAGAACCUCAGCCUCUAUUUGUUUCCACCCCGCCGGCCACAUCCCGGGCCAGAGAUGACAGGGUAUUACAAUGUGCGUGUCCUUUAGAUAAGGCUGAAUGUGAAAUUGGAAUUAUAUCACUUCUUCCCCCAAGAGCCUGUCCUGCGUCCUCAGCCUCCUGGAAGGACAGCGCCACCAAAUACCUCAUCUGCACCCGUGAGCCCAGAGAGGGCCUUCGGCAGCCUCCCUCCGGUGACGCUGUCACGCUGCGCUCGGCUCCUCGCGCCCGAGCCUGGGGUUCACCCCGCGCCCCCAGCCCUCCCGCGAGGCCUGUCAGCGCCGCCUCCAGAAGCGUCCCCAGAGCAGCCCCGGUCCCUUCUCCGCCACCUCCGUCCAGAAGCAGCCUCGUCUGUCCCCUGGGCUCCCGCAGGAGCGCCUGGCCUUCCCCUUCGCCCGCGCUCCGUGCAGCAGUCAAGGCGACGCUUCGGCCUAACGCUGAACGCACCCUAAGUGCGCCCCCAGAUCCGGCCGCCGGGAUGGCCCCGCCCCCGCCCCGCCCCGUCCCUGCAGUGAGGCCAGUGCUCCUCCUCCCUCCACUGCUCAGUUAGCCGCGCUCCGUCCUCACCCGGGACCCUGCCCCGGCCCUUCCCUCCCCGGCACACCCUCUCCCCACAUGUGCCCACGGCCGGCUUCUUGCCACACGGGUCGGCUCCUCAGCGACGCCUUCGCGACCACUCCCUCUGGGUGGCCUCUGGCCCCCGACACGCUCGGUGCCUCACCCGGUCUUCCUGUCAGUACAGAGGGGCCACUGCCUCUUCUUUUCUUGUUUAUCUACUCGUCUGAUGCCUUCAUUUAGAAAGUAAGUUCCUCGGAGUUCCCCGUGGUGCAGGGGGUUAAGGACCUGGCGUUGUCACUGCUGCGGCUGAGGUGGCCGCUGUGACACAGGUUCCAUCCCUGGCCCAGGCGUUUCCACAUGCCACGGGCAUGGCCACAGAGAGGUAAGUUUCUCCCAGGGAAGGGCUCCAUCAUCGUAUUCACUUCCAGAUCCCGAUAAUCCUUAGCGGGUCCCAAAUGGGCGAUGCCUACUCCACUGAAACAUUGGUCAUGGUUGAUCUGAAAUUCAAGUUUAGCCAGGCGCCCCGUAUUCUAACUGACAGUCCUACCCGAGGCCCAUGGUACCACAUCUCGGGGACAUGGUGCCAAGAGCGGAAGCCAGACUGAAGAGAAGAGAGCAAAUGAUGUGGGCGAGAGAGGGGGCGGGAGAGGCAGGGUAACAGAGGCCCCGGUGGCCCAGUGUUCGCCCUCUGACGGUGUCGGGAAGUCCCACAGCUCGGUGGCCCAAGGUCGGUGCCACCCCUGUGCUUUCUGUACUUUAUUUCCAGGCAUCAAUAAAGUCCCCUUUCACUUUGAAAUAACAGCCGACGUUCUUGAGCACAUAUGUGUGCCAGGCACUGGGCGAGCGCUUGGAUGCACUGUCUCGCUGAGGCUGUCACCUCAGUGUCACCUCACACAGCUCGCUGAGGGUGUUGCUGUGUGGCGUCUACAGAGGAAGCGCUGAGGGACAGAGACCCUAAAUAACGUCCUCAAGGUCACGCAGACUUGAAGCGGCAGAGCCGGGCUCCACAGCCAGGCCGUCCGAUGCCAGCGUGUGGGACCACUGCGAGGAGAAGCCGUCCCUCGUCCCCCGGGAGGUCCCAGGUGGCUUGGGUCGAGCAGACACCGACUGCUGACCCUCGCGCGGCAGGCGGCCUCACGUGUGGGCUCAGGAACCAGACGAGCCAGGCUCAGAGCCACCUCCCUCACCCCUGGGGUAACUUUGGGAAAGCUCCCCUCUUGCUCUGAGCCUCAGCUUCCUCUCCUAGAAAGCGGAGUUGACAGUAACAGUAGCUCUUGCACAGGAUGGACGUGGGGCUUUGAUUAAUUAAUGCCUGUAUACACACACGUAAAGAGC
RNAcentral lists this long non-coding RNA (2098 nucleotides) under Sus scrofa (pig). RNAcentral describes it as "lncRNA (ENSSSCG00040013424.1)". The record is from RNAcentral. Lineage: Eukaryota; Metazoa; Chordata; Mammalia; Artiodactyla; Suidae.